This 483-nucleotide ribosomal RNA is filed under the name uncultured bacterium. Its description in RNAcentral is "partial 16S ribosomal RNA". It matches the Rfam family "Bacterial small subunit ribosomal RNA", at positions 28 to 507 of the family's 1533-position model. The record is from RNAcentral.
GACGAACGCUGGCGGCGUGCUUAACACAUGCAAGUCGAAAGCUGAAGCUCAGCUUUUGUUGGGUGGAUGAGUGGCGAAAGGGUGAGUAACACGUGAGUAACCUGCCUCCUUCUUUGGGAUAACGCCCGGAAACGGGGGCUAAUACUGGAUAUUCACUGGUCUUCGGAUGGGGGGUGGUGGAAAGGGGUUUUCUGGUGGGGGAUGGGCUCGCGGCCUAUCAGCUUGUUGGGGGGGUGAUGGCCUACCAAGGCUUUGACGGGUAGCCGGCCUGAGAGGGUGACCGGUCACAUUGGGACUGAGAUACGGCCCAGACUCCUACGGGAGGCAGCAGUGGGGAAUAUUGCACAAUGGGCGCAAGCCUGAUGCAGCGACGCCGCGUGAGGGAUGGAGGCCUUCGGGUUGUGAACCUCUUUCGCUCAUGGUCAAGCCGCAACAAUGGUUGUGGUGAGGGUAGUGGGUAAAGAAGCGCCGGCUAACUACGUG